RNAcentral lists this ribosomal RNA (465 nucleotides) under Vreelandella stevensii. Its description in RNAcentral is "partial 16S ribosomal RNA". It matches the Rfam family "Bacterial small subunit ribosomal RNA", at positions 338 to 795 of the family's 1533-position model. The record is from RNAcentral. Lineage: Bacteria; Pseudomonadati; Pseudomonadota; Gammaproteobacteria; Oceanospirillales; Halomonadaceae.
CCUACGGGAGGCAGCAGUGGGGAAUAUUGGACAAUGGGGGGAACCCUGAUCCAGCCAUACCGCGUGUGUGAAGAAGGCCCUCGGGUUGUAAAGCACUUUCAGUGAGGAAGAACGCCUGGUGGUUAAUACCCAUCAGGAAAGACAUCACUCACAGAAGAAGCACCGGCUAACUCCGUGCCAGCAGCCGCGGUAAUAUGGAGGGUGCGAGCGUUAAUCGGAAUUACUGGGCGUAAAGCGCGCGUAGGUGGCUUGAUAAGCCGGUUGUGAAAGCCCCGGGCUCAACCUGGGAACGGCAUCCGGAACUGUCAAGCUAGAGUGCAGGAGAGGAAGGUAGAAUUCCCGGUGUAGCGGUGAAAUGCGUAGAGAUCGGGAGGAAUACCAGUGGCGAAGGCGGCCUUCUGGACUGACACUGACGCUGAGGUGCGAAAGCGUGGGUAGCAAACAGGAUUAGAUACCCUGGUAGUC